This 489-nucleotide ribosomal RNA is filed under the name uncultured bacterium. Its description in RNAcentral is "partial 16S ribosomal RNA". It matches the Rfam family "Bacterial small subunit ribosomal RNA", at positions 355 to 858 of the family's 1533-position model. The record is from RNAcentral.
UGGGGAAUAUUGCACAAUGGGCGAAAGCCUGAUGCAGCAACGCCGCGUGAGUGAUGAAGGCCUUCGGGUUGUAAAAGCUCUGUCUUUUGGGACGAUAAUGACGGUACCAAAGGAGGAAGCCACGGCUAACUACGUGCCAGCAGCCGCGGUAAUACGUAGGUGGCAAGCGUUGUCCGGAAUUUACGGGCGUAAAGGAUGCGUAGGCGGAUUUUUAAGUGAGAUGUGAAAACCCUAAGCUUAACUUGGGGACUGCAUUUCAUACUGGAAAUCUAGAGUGCGGGAGAGGAGAAUGGAAUUCCUAGUGUAGCGGUGAAAAUGCGUAGAGAUUAGGAAGAACACCAGUGGCGAAGGCGAUUCUCUGGACCGUAACUGACGCUGAGGCAUGAAAGCGUGGGUAGCAAACAGGAUUAGAUACCCUGGUAGUCCACGCCGUAAACGAUGAGUACUAGGUGUAGGAGGUAUCGACCCCCUUCUGUGCCGCAGUUAAAC